CGAAUAGGGCGGUACCUUGACGGUACCUGACGAGAAAGCCACGGCUAACUACGUGCCAGCAGCCGCGGUAAUACGUAGGUGGCAAGCGUUGUCCGGAUUUAUUGGGCGUAAAGCGCGCGCAGGCGGCUAUGUAAGUCUGGUGUUAAAGCCCGGGGCUCAACCCCGGUUCGCAUCGGAAACUGUGUAGCUUGAGUGCAGAAGAGGAAAGCGGUAUUCCACGUGUAGCGGUGAAAUGCGUAGAGAUGUGGAGGAACACCAGUGGCGAAGGCGGCUUUCUGGUCUGUAACUGACGCUAAGGCGCGAAAGCGUGGGGAGCAAACAGGAUUAGAUACCC
This 334-nucleotide ribosomal RNA is filed under the name Brevibacillus invocatus. RNAcentral describes it as "bacterial SSU rRNA". It matches the Rfam family "Bacterial small subunit ribosomal RNA", at positions 446 to 787 of the family's 1533-position model. The record is from RNAcentral. Lineage: Bacteria; Bacillati; Bacillota; Bacilli; Caryophanales; Paenibacillaceae.